RNAcentral lists this unclassified non-coding RNA (263 nucleotides) under plant metagenome. RNAcentral describes it as "partial contains small subunit ribosomal RNA, internal transcribed spacer 1, and 5.8S ribosomal RNA". The record is from RNAcentral.
UUUCCGUAGGUGAACCUGCGGAAGGAUCAUUAUUGUAUAACCGAGGUGCGUGGGCUGUCGAUGACCCGAACGGUCGUGUACGCCCGGGUGCCCCCACACACAUCCAUCUUACCCCUAUGUGCACCACCGCGUGGGUCCCCCUUUGGCUUGAUCGGAGGGGUGCUUACGUUUUCGCACAAUCUUUGUAUACAUUGUAGAAUGUAUUUUUUGUUUUUGCGAUCACGCAAUCAAUACAACUUUCAACAACGGAUCUCUUGGCUCUC